UUCCGGUUGAUCCUGCCGGAGGUCAUUGCUAUCGGAGUCCGAUUUAGCCAUGCUAGUCGUGCGAGUUCAUACUCGCGGCACCGAGCUCAGUAACACGUGGCCAAACUACCCUACAGAGACGGAUACCCUCGGGAAACUGAGGCUAACCUGUCAUACCGAUCUCAGGCUUGAAUCGCAGAGAUCACUAAAUGCCCCGGCGCUGUAGGAUGUGGCUGCGGUUGAUUAGGUUGACGGUGGGGUAACGGCCCACCGUGCCCAUAAUCAGUACAGGUUGUGAGAGCAAGAACCUGGAGACGGAAUCUGAGACAAGAUUCCGGGCCCUACGGGGCGCAGCAGGCGCGAAACCUUUACACUGCACGCACGUGCGAUAAGGGGACUCCGAGUGCGAGGGCAUAUCGUCCUCGCUUUCGUGUACCGUAGGGUGGUACACCAACAAGGGCUGGGCAAGACCGGUGCCAGCCGCCGCGGU
This 469-nucleotide ribosomal RNA is filed under the name uncultured archaeon. RNAcentral's name for it is "bacterial SSU rRNA". It matches the Rfam family "Archaeal small subunit ribosomal RNA", at positions 1 to 471 of the family's 1478-position model. The record is from RNAcentral.